UAGGGAAUCUUCGGCAAUGGACGAAAGUCUGACCGAGCAACGCCGCGUGAGUGAAGAAGGUUUUCGGAUCGUAAAACUCUGUUGUUAGAGAAGAACAAGGACGUUAGUAACUGAACGUCCCCUGACGGUAUCUAACCAGAAAGCCACGGCUAACUACGUGCCAGCAGCCGCGGUAAUACGUAGGUGGCAAGCGUUGUCCGGAUUUAUUGGGCGUAAAGCGAGCGCAGGCGGUUUCUUAAGUCUGAUGUGAAAGCCCCCGGCUCAACCGGGGAGGGUCAUUGGAGACUGGGAGACUUGAGUGCAGAAGAGGAGAGUGGAAUUCCAUGUGUAGCAGUGAAAUGCGUAGAUAUAUGGAGGAACACCAGUGGCGAAGGCGGCUCUCUGGUCUGUAACUGACGCUGAGGCUCGAAAGCGUGGGGAGCAAACAGG
Molecule: ribosomal RNA, 429 nt
Filed under: Gemmatimonadota bacterium
Lineage: Bacteria; Pseudomonadati; Gemmatimonadota
Description: Gemmatimonadetes bacterium partial 16S ribosomal RNA
Rfam family: Bacterial small subunit ribosomal RNA
Source: RNAcentral